RNAcentral lists this ribosomal RNA (569 nucleotides) under Rhinogobiops nicholsii (blackeye goby). RNAcentral describes it as "partial 16S ribosomal RNA". It matches the Rfam family "Bacterial large subunit ribosomal RNA", at positions 1844 to 2614 of the family's 2925-position model. The record is from RNAcentral. Lineage: Eukaryota; Metazoa; Chordata; Actinopteri; Gobiiformes; Gobiidae.
UAUAAGAGGUCUCGCCUGCCCUGUGACUAAAAGUUUAACGGCCGCGGUAUUUUGACCGUGCGAAGGUAGCGCAAUCACUUGUCUUUUAAAUGAAGACCUGUAUGAAUGGCAUGACGAGGGCUCAGCUGUCUCCUUUCUCCCGUCAAUGAAAUUGAUCUUUCCGUGCAGAAGCGGGAAUAAACCCAUAAGACGAGAAGACCCUAUGGAGCUUCAGACACAAGAAUAGCCUAAUAACCCCUGCCCCCACCAAACCAGGACCAAGUUAAUACCUAGUCCUAUGUCUUCGGUUGGGGCGACCACGGGGAAACGAAAACCCCCCGCGAGGAAUGGAAUACUCCUUUAUGCUAGAGCCACAGCUCACACAAUCAGAACAUCUGUCCAUAAUGACCCGGCCUUAGGGCCGAUCAACGGAUCGAGUUACCCUAGGGAUAACAGCGCAAUCCCCUCCAAGAGCCCAUAUCGACAAGGGGGUUUACGACCUCGAUGUUGGAUCAGGACCUCCUAAUGGUGCAACCGCUGUUAAGGGUUCGUUUGUUCAACGAUUAAAGUCCUACGUGAUCUGAGUUCAG